CCUACGGGAGGCAGCAGUGGGGAAUAUUGCACAAUGGGCGGAAGCCUGAUGCAGCAACGCCGCGAUGCGGGAUGACGGCCUUCGGGUUGUAAACCGCUUUCGCCUGUGACGAAGCGUGAGUGACGGUAAUGGGUAAAGAAGCACNGGCUAACUACGUGCCAGCAGCCGCGGUAAUAA
This 177-nucleotide ribosomal RNA is filed under the name uncultured bacterium. RNAcentral's name for it is "partial 16S ribosomal RNA". It matches the Rfam family "Bacterial small subunit ribosomal RNA", at positions 338 to 526 of the family's 1533-position model. The record is from RNAcentral.